RNAcentral lists this ribosomal RNA (2454 nucleotides) under human gut metagenome. RNAcentral describes it as "bacterial LSU rRNA". It matches the Rfam family "Bacterial large subunit ribosomal RNA", at positions 3 to 2480 of the family's 2925-position model. The record is from RNAcentral.
UUAAGUAAGGAAGGGCGUACGGCGAAUGCCUUGCCACUCGAAACUGAAGAAGGACGCGCCAAACUGCGAAAAGCUCCGUGAAGCUGUAAGGAAGCGAAGAAGCGGAGGUGUCCGAAUGGGGGAACCCGGCAGCAGACAUGAGCUGUCAUCUGCAGGUGAAUACAUGGCCUGCAAGAGAGGUACCCGGCGAACUGAAACAUCUAAGUAGCCGGAGGAAAAGAAAACAACAGUGAUUCCCUGAGUAGCGGCGAGCGAAAGGGGAGAAGCCCAAACCGGUUGAAGGACCGGGGUUGAAGGACCAUGACAUGGCAAGAACGAGGAUAGGAGAACGGGAUCGAAAGCCCGGCCGAAGAAGGUGAAAGCCCUGUAACCGAAAUCCGAGUAAAGCCUAAUGGGAUCCUGAGUACGGCGAGACACGAGAAAUCUUGUCGGAAGCAGGCGGGACCAUCCGCCAAGGCUAAAUAUAAACGAGUGAGCGAUAGUGAACCAGUACCGUGAGGGAAAGGUGAAAAGAACCGCGGGAGCGGAGUGAAAGAGAACCUGAAACCGUAUGCCUACAAGAAGUCAGAGCCCGUUAAGGGGUGAUGGCGUGCCUUUUGUAGAAUGAACCGGCGAGUUGCGACAGACUGCGAGGUUAAGGAGGAAAGACCGGAGCCGAAGCGAAAGCGAGUCUUAAGAGGGCGAAAGUAGGAUGUUGCAGACCCGAAACCGGGUGAUCUAGCCAUGAGCAGGUUGAAGUUGAGGUGAAACUCAAUGGAGGACCGAACCGACUACCGUUGAAAAGUUAGCGGAUGACUUGUGGCUAGGGGAGAAAUUCCAAUCGAACCCGGAGAUAGCUGGUUCUCCCCGAAAUAGCUUUAGGGCUAGCGUCGGAAAGAACCUUAGUGAAGGUAGAGCACUGAAUGUGUGAUGGCCCCAUCCCGGGGUACUGAAUACAAUCAAACUGCGAAUGUCAUUAAGGAUGUCCGGCAGUCAGACUGUGAGUGAUAAGGUCCAUGGUCAAGAGGGAAACAGCCCAGACCGCCAGUUAAGGUCCCAAAAUACAGGCUAAGUGGAAAAGGAUGUGGGGAUGCCCAGACAACUAGGAGGUUGGCUCAGAAGCAGCCAUCCUUUAAAGAGUGCGUAACAGCUCACUAGUCGAGUGACCCUGCGCCGAAAAUGUACCGGGGCUAAGCCUGAUACCGAAACUGCGGAUUGUAGGAAACUAUAGUGGUAGGGGAGCGUUGUAUACGAGCAGAAGCCGUACCGUGAGGAGCGGUGGAUUGUAUAGAAGUGAGAAUGCCGGUGUGAGUAGCGAGAUGUAGGUGAGAAUCCUACACACCGAAAGCCCAAGGAUUCCAGGGGAAGGUUCGUCCGCCCUGGGUAAGUCGGGACCUAACGCGAGGCCGAAAGGCGUAGUGGAUGGAAAGCAGGCGAAAGAUUCCUGCACCCGUAUAUGGAGCGAAGGAGUGACGGAGACGGAUAGUGUGACCCUCUUAAUGGAUUGAGGGCGAAGCGAAGCGGCUGGUUACCAGGCAAAUCCGGUAACCAUAAGGCUAGAGCGUGACAGGUAAGCGAAAUCUUAGGAAAGUAGCGAAGCACAUGAUGACGGCUUCCAGGAAAAGCUUCUGGCAAUGCAUAUGCGGCCCGUACCAAAACCGACACAGGUGGGCAGGGAGAGAAUCCCGAGGUGAGCGAGAGAACUGUUGCCAAGGAACUCGGCAAAAUGACUCCGUAAGUUAGCGAGAAGGAGUGCUUAAGCAAUUAAGCCGCAGUGAAGAGGCCCAAGCGACUGUUUAACUAAAACACAGCUCUCUGCGAAGUCGCAAGACGAAGUAUAGGGGGUGACACCUGCCCGGUGCUGGAAGGUUAAGAGGAUCUGUUAAGAGCGAUCUGAAGCAGUGAUCCGAAGCCCCAGUGAACGGCGGCCGUAACUAUAACGGUCCUAAGGUAGCGAAAUUCCUUGUCAGGUAAGUUCUGACCCGCACGAAAGGUGUAACGAUUUGGGCGCUGUCUCGGCAGCAGACUCGGUGAAAUCUUAGUACCUGUGAAAAUGCAGGUUACCCGCAACUAGACGGAAAGACCCCAUGGAGCUUUACUGCAGCCUGAUAUUGAAUUCUGGUCAUACAUGUACAGGAUAGGUGGGAGACAAAGAGACGUGCACGCCAGUGUACGAGGAGUCGACGUUGGGAUACCACUCUUGUGUGACCGGGGUUCUAACCUGGUAUCGAGAACAGGUACGGGGAGAGUGUCAGGUGGGCAGUUUGACUGGGGCGGUCGCCUCCCAAAGAGUAACGGAGGCGCCCAAAGGUACGCUCAGAUUGGAUGGAAACCAAUCGUCGAGUGCAAUUGCAGAAGCGUGCUUGACUGUGAGACAGACAAGUCGAACAGGGACGAAAGUCGGGAAUAGUGAUCCGGCGGUGCCGAAUGGAAGGGCCGUCGCUCAACGGAUAAAAGCUACCCUGGGGAUAACAG